GACCUGAGCUCAGGCAAGAACACCCGCUGAACUUAAGCAUAUCAAUAAGCGGAGGAAAAGAAAGAAACAUCGAUUGUCAGAGUAACGGCGAGUGAAACGACAAUAGUCCAACUUGAAAAUCUCCCUUUGGAGAAUUGUAGUCUAUAGAAGCGCCCUCUGUGGCGGUCGGAUCCCAAGUUCACUGGAAAGUGGCGUCAGAGAGGGUGAGAACCCCGUCGGAUCUAGACUUAGCUGCUCCACGAGGUGCUUUCCAAGAGUCGGGUUGUUUGGGAA
This 273-nucleotide ribosomal RNA is filed under the name Chlorominima collina. RNAcentral's name for it is "partial 26S ribosomal RNA". It matches the Rfam family "Eukaryotic large subunit ribosomal RNA", at positions 1 to 280 of the family's 3401-position model. Lineage: Eukaryota; Viridiplantae; Chlorophyta; Chlorophyceae; Chlamydomonadales; Chlamydomonadaceae. The record is from RNAcentral.